Molecule: ribosomal RNA, 369 nt
Filed under: Triticum aestivum (bread wheat)
Lineage: Eukaryota; Viridiplantae; Streptophyta; Magnoliopsida; Poales; Poaceae
Description: partial small subunit ribosomal RNA
Source: RNAcentral
AUGGCAGAAUACAAACCACUGUUUUGUCACUGGAUUGUUGUGAAAGAAGACCAUAAACAUUACAUUUCCAAUGAUGUUAAAGAGCCGACUCACCAAAACAAACUCUACACCAGCCAUGUGUUUUGUGGACCCCAGCAGAGCUUCCUUAUCCUUCCUCUUUCUUCCAGAAUCCUCCAUCGUCCUUUCGUCUCGAUCACAUCUCUUUUCUUCUCCUCUUGCUCUCUGACUCCACACAAACACGUGUCCUGCCUUCAGCCACGUCGUUUGCUGGAACAGCCGUCAGAAUUGCUGGAACGGACUUUUGUUCUUAGUUCGACGGUAGCCAUGGCGACCACCGGGUCACGAUGUUUAUUUGCUGCAACCACAUAG